AUUGAACGCUGGCGGCAGGCCUAACACAUGCAAGUCGAGCGGAUGAAGGGAGCUUGCUCCUGGAUUCAGCGGCGGACGGGUGAGUAAUGCCUAGGAAUCUGCCUGGUAGUGGGGGAUAACGUCCGGAAACGGGCGCUAAUACCGCAUACGUCCUGAGGGAGAAAGUGGGGGAUCUUCGGACCUCACGCUAUCAGAUGAGCCUAGGUCGGAUUAGCUAGUUGGUGGGGUAAAGACCUACCAAGGCGACGAUCCGUAACUGGUCUGAGAGGAUGAUCAGUCACACUGGCACUGCGACACGGUCCAGACUCCUACGGGAGGCAGCAGUGGGGAAUAUUGGACACUGGGCGAAAGCCUGAUCCAGCCAUGCCGCGUGUGUGAAGAAGGUCUUCGGAUUGUAAAGCACUUUAAGUUGGGAGGAAGGGCAGUAAGUUAAUACCUUGCUGUUUUGACGUUACCCACAGAAUCAGCCCCGGCUAACUUCGUG
Molecule: ribosomal RNA, 484 nt
Filed under: uncultured bacterium
Lineage: Bacteria
Description: partial 16S ribosomal RNA
Rfam family: Bacterial small subunit ribosomal RNA
Source: RNAcentral